Molecule: non-coding RNA, 381 nt
Organism: Suncus etruscus (white-toothed pygmy shrew)
Lineage: Eukaryota; Metazoa; Chordata; Mammalia; Eulipotyphla; Soricidae
Source: the annotation of a RefSeq genome assembly
ACUCAAGUGGCCCUCAGCAUGAACUGGACAUGGAAAAUCCUCUUCCUGCUCUCAGUGGCCACAGGUGUGCACUCCCAGGCGCAGCUGGUACAGUCUGGGGCCGAGGUGAGGAAACCUGGGACAUCAGUGAAGAUUUCCUGCAAGGCAUCUGGAUAUACCUUCACAGAUUACUGGAUACACUGGGUGCAGCAGCGUCCUGGACAAGGGCUUGAGUGGAUAGGAUAUGUAAGCCCCAGCAGUGGUAGUACAGGAUAUGCACCAAAUUUCCGGGGCAGAGUCUCCCUCACAGCAGACAAGUCCACCAGCACAGCCCACAUGGAACUGAGCAAUCUGAGGUCUGAGGACACUGCCACUUACUACUGUACGAGACACACAAUGUGA